This 373-nucleotide ribosomal RNA is filed under the name uncultured bacterium. RNAcentral's name for it is "bacterial SSU rRNA". It matches the Rfam family "Bacterial small subunit ribosomal RNA", at positions 525 to 896 of the family's 1533-position model. The record is from RNAcentral.
ACGAAGGUGGCGAGCGUUACUCGGAAUUACUAGGCGUAAAGCGUGGGUAGGUGGUUCGAUAAGUCUGUUGUGAAAGCUCCUGGCUUAACUGGGAGAGGCCAAUGGAUACUGUCGGACUUGAAUGUGGGAGGGGUCACUGGAAUUCCCGGUGUAGCGGUGAAAUGCGUAGAGAUCGGGAGGAACACCAAUGGCGAAAGCAGGUGACUGGACCACUAUUGACACUGAGCCACGAAAGCUAGGGGAGCAAACAGGAUUAGAUACCCUGGUAGUCCUAGCCGUAAACGAUGUUCACUAGGUGUGGGGGGUAUCGACCCCUUCCGCGCCGACGCUAACGCAUUAAGUGAACCGCCUGGGGAGUACGGCCGCAAGGUUG